GCUUGCCUGGCUCCCUGAAUGCCAUGUAAGAUGCUUUUGCCAAAAGGAAUGGUGACCUUUUUAUUUGGCAUUUGGAGAGCCAUGCAGGC
Molecule: microRNA precursor, 89 nt
Filed under: Lupinus angustifolius (narrow-leaved blue lupine)
Lineage: Eukaryota; Viridiplantae; Streptophyta; Magnoliopsida; Fabales; Fabaceae
Description: pre miRNA mir-160
Source: RNAcentral